This 2031-nucleotide ribosomal RNA is filed under the name Phytoptus hedericola. RNAcentral's name for it is "SSU rRNA". It matches the Rfam family "Eukaryotic small subunit ribosomal RNA", at positions 138 to 1627 of the family's 1831-position model. Lineage: Eukaryota; Metazoa; Arthropoda; Arachnida; Trombidiformes; Phytoptidae. The record is from RNAcentral.
CAUGGAUAACUGUGGUAAUUCUAGAGCUAAUACAUGCACAAAAGCCGCGACUUUUAACUAAGAAGCGGUGCGUUUAUUAGACCAAGACCAAUGGGUGCUUGCACCCUACAAAUAUGGUGACUCUGGAUAACUAAUGGCCUAAAAACCAUGAUGCUGACCCUAUGGCCCGUGGGCAACCACACCGUGCCGAGGGCAAAUCAUUCGAGUGUCUGAUCUAUCAACUGUCGAUGGUAAAUUAUAUGUUUACCAUGGUUGUAACGGGUAACGGGGAGUUAGGGCUCGACUCCGGAGAGCAAGCCUGAGAAACGGCUAGCACAUCCAAGGAAGGCAGCAGGCGCGCAAAUUACUCAAUGCCGGCUCGGCGAAGUAGUGAAGAAAAAUAACGAUGUAGGUCUUUUUUAUAGGAUCUACAAUUGGAAUGAGUACACCGUAAAUACGUUAACGAGUACCAAUUGGAGGGCAAGUCUGGUGCCAGCAGCCGCGGUAAUUUCCCAGCUCCAAUAGCGUAUAUUAAAGUUGCUGCGGUUAAAAAGCUCGUAGUUGGAUUUCAGACCUAUUGUCAGCAAAGCUGCACUAUUCAACGUUCGUUGGUUUCAAUGGACGUCGCGUAUUCACUUUCGUGGAUGCGUGUGUUCAUUUGGGCCUCGUUCGGGUGUUAGCUAUUUGCUGGCUGGUCGUUUCGUCACUUUUUAACAGGACGAAGCAGGCUGUAUCAUUGGCUAGUGACGCUUGCGUUGCGCUACAAUGGUCAGCGUGUUUACCUUGAGAAAAUUAGAGUGCUCAAAGCAGACAUGGCGGGUCGUAAGACUUGCAUUUAUGUUUGAAUAAUGUUGCAUGGAAUAAUAGAAUAUGGCCUCGGUUCUAUUCUGUUGGUCUUGUAGAACAACAAACAAGUUCACGCGUUCAAAUCAUGUUGCUGGCUUGGUGGAUUACUGUUUGUACGGCUUUGGCAUUGAUCGUGAGCUUAGUGUUAUCGCGUUCAUCGCGGAUGCGCAUCGCGAGCUUUAUCGGUUUGUCUAUAGGUUGUGCGGGCGUAGUCCCUCGAAAAGCCAAGCUUGUUAACACGAACGCGUGAAUCGAGGCAAUGGUUAAUAGGGACAGACGGGGGCAUUCGUACUGCUUCGCUAGAGGUGAAAUUCUUAGACCGAAGCAAGACGAACUAAAGCGAAAGCAUUUGCCUAGAAUGUUCUCAUUAAUCAAGAACGAAAGUUAGAGGUUCGAAGGCGAUCAGAUACCGCCCUAGUUCUAACCAUAAACGAUGCCAACUAGCAAUCAGGCUGAGUUUUUUAAAAUACAAAUGACUCGCCUGGCGGCUUCGCGGGAAACCAAAGUUUUUCGGUUCCGGGGGAAGUAUGAUUGCAAAGUUGAAACUUAAAGGAAUUGACGGAAGGGCACCACCAGGGGUGGAGCCUGCGGCUUAAUUUGACUCAACACGGGGAAACUUACUAGAUUAGAACGCUGGAAUGAUUGACAGAUUAAUAGCUCUUUCUUGAUUCAGCGAGUGGUGGUGCAUGGCCGUUCUUGAUUCGUAGAAUGAUUCGUCUGCUUAAUUGCGAUAACGAGUGAGACCUCGACCUACUAACUAGGUUCGUUCAUCAUUUGGGAUACAAAACGCCCUGUGUGUAUAUGGCGUGCAGUGUGCGUAGCAAUAUGUGCAUUGUGCGUCGCACGUAGGGUAGGCCCUCUGCUGGACGAAGACUUCUUAGCGGGAUAAACGGUGUUUUAGCCGUAAUAAAUGAGGCAAUAACAGGUCUGUGAUGCCCUUAGAUAUUCUAGGCCGCACGCGUGCUACACUGGUAGAGGCAGCAUGCUUAAUUUGAACAAUUGCCUCGGAGUUCUACCAGUGUUCUGCGUAUUUUGCCAAUGGUUCGCCGGAGGUUUGAUUCGUAUGUUUGCUGGUGUGAGCCGGGGAGUUAUUGUUUGAAAAAACCUUGGCUGAAAAGCCUGGGCAAUCCUAUGAAACUCUACCGUGAUUUGGGAUUGGGAAUUGCAAUUGUUUUCCAUGAACGAGGAAUCCCCAGUAAGCGCAAU